CCGAGUCUUAACUGGGCGUUAAGUUGCAGGGUAUAGACCCGAAACCCGGUGAUCUAGCCAUGGGCAGGUUGAAGGUUGGGUAACACUAACUGGAGGACCGAACCGACUAAUGUUGAAAAAUUAGCGGAUGACUUGUGGCUGGGGGUGAAAGGCCAAUCAAACCGGGAGAUAGCUGGUUCUCCCCGAAAGCUAUUUAGGUAGCGCCUCGUGAAUUCAUCUCCGGGGGUAGAGCACUGUUUCGGCAAGGGGGUCAUCCCGACUUACCAACCCGAUGCAAACUGCGAAUACCGGAGAAUGUUAUCACGGGAGACACACGGCGGGUGCUAACGUCCGUCGUGAAGAGGGAAACAACCCAGACCGCCAGCUAAGGUCCCAAAGUCAUGGUUAAGUGGGAAACGAUGUGGGAAGGCCCAGACAGCCAGGAUGUUGGCUUAGAAGCAGCCAUCAUUUAAAGAAAGCGUAAUAGCUCACUGGUCGAGUCGGCCUGCGCGGAAGAUGUAACGGGGCUAAACCAUGCACCGAAGCUGCGGCAGCGACGCUUAUGCGUUGUUGGGUAGGGGAGCGUUCUGUAAGCCUGCGAAGGUGUACUGUGAGG
This 595-nucleotide ribosomal RNA is filed under the name Escherichia coli. RNAcentral's name for it is "partial 23S ribosomal RNA". It matches the Rfam family "Bacterial large subunit ribosomal RNA", at positions 677 to 1268 of the family's 2925-position model. Lineage: Bacteria; Pseudomonadati; Pseudomonadota; Gammaproteobacteria; Enterobacterales; Enterobacteriaceae. The record is from RNAcentral.